CACAGCCACGGGAAUACGAAGGGGGCUAGCGUUGUUCGGAUUUACUGGGCGUAAAGCGCACGUAGGCGGACUUUUAAGUCAGGGGUGAAAUCCCGGGGCUCAACCCCGGAACUGCCUUUGAUACUGGAAGUCUUGAGUAUGGUAGAGGUGAGUGGAAUUCCGAGUGUAGAGGUGAAAUUCGUAGAUAUUCGGAGGAACACCAGUGGCGAAGGCGGCUCACUGGACCAUUACUGACGCUGAGGUGCGAAAGCGUGGGGAGCAAACAGGAUUAGAUACCCCAGUAGUCCCUGUCUCUUAUACA
This 301-nucleotide ribosomal RNA is filed under the name uncultured bacterium. RNAcentral describes it as "partial 16S ribosomal RNA". It matches the Rfam family "Bacterial small subunit ribosomal RNA", at positions 510 to 808 of the family's 1533-position model. The record is from RNAcentral.